Molecule: ribosomal RNA, 427 nt
Filed under: uncultured bacterium
Lineage: Bacteria
Description: bacterial SSU rRNA
Rfam family: Bacterial small subunit ribosomal RNA
Source: RNAcentral
UGGGGAAUCUUCCACAAUGGACGAAAGUCUGAUGGAGCAACGCCGCGUGAGUGAAGAAGGUCUUCGGAUCGUAAAGCUCUGUUGUCGGGGACGAAUGUAGAGUUCUGGAAUACGGAACUCUAAUGACGGUACCUGACGAGGAAGCCACGGCUAACUACGUGCCAGCAGCCGCGGUAAUACGUAGGUGGCAAGCGUUGUCCGGAAUUAUUGGGCGUAAAGGGAGCGCAGGUGGGCGUGUAAGUCUUUCUUAAAAGUGCGGGGCUCAACCCCGUGAUGGGAAAGAAACUAUAUGCCUUGAGUGCAGGAGAGGAAAGCGGAAUUCCUAGUGUAGCGGUGAAAUGCGUAGAUAUUAGGAGGAACACCAGUGGCGAAGGCGGCUUUCUGGACUGUAACUGACACUGAGGCUCGAAAGCCAGGGGAGCGAACG